UUGUUCACAAUGGGCGCAAGCCUGAUGACGCAACGCCGCGUGGAGGAUGAAGGUCUUCGGAUUGUAAACUCCUGUUGCUCGGGACGAAAAGCUCUGACCUAACACGUCAGAGUCUGACGGUACCGGGUGAGGAAGCCCCGGCUAACUCUGUGCCAGCAGCCGCGGUAAUACAGAGGGGGCAAGCGAUGUUCGGAAUUACUGGGCGUAAAGGGCGCGUAGGCGGCCUUCUAAGUCAGACGUGAAAUCCCCGGGCUCAACCCGGGAACUGCGUCUGAUACUGGAGGGCUUGAAUCCGGGAGAGGGAUGUGGAAUUCCAGGUGUAGCGGUGAAAUGCGUAGAUAUCUGGAGGAACACCGGUGGCGAAGGCGGCAUCCUGGACCGGUAUGACGCUGAGGCGCGAG
This 401-nucleotide ribosomal RNA is filed under the name uncultured bacterium. RNAcentral's name for it is "bacterial SSU rRNA". It matches the Rfam family "Bacterial small subunit ribosomal RNA", at positions 362 to 757 of the family's 1533-position model. The record is from RNAcentral.